RNAcentral lists this ribosomal RNA (253 nucleotides) under uncultured bacterium. RNAcentral describes it as "partial 16S ribosomal RNA". It matches the Rfam family "Bacterial small subunit ribosomal RNA", at positions 524 to 776 of the family's 1533-position model. The record is from RNAcentral.
UACGUGAGGGGCGAACGUUGUUCGGUGUCACUGGGCUUAAAGGGUGCGUAGGUGGUUGCGUAAGUAAGGUGUGAAAUCCCUCGGCUUACCCGGGGAAUUGCAUUUUAUACUGCGUGGCUUGAGGAUUAAAGGGGAAAAGGGAACUCCAGGUGUAGCGGUGAAAUGCACAGAUAUCUGGGGGAAGGCCGGCGGCGAAGGCGCUUUUCUGGUUAAUACCUGACACUGAGGCACGAAAGCGUGGGGAGCAAACAGG